Olea europaea var. sylvestris is the source of this 1862-nucleotide long non-coding RNA. RefSeq lists it as uncharacterized. The transcript has 5 exons. The record is from RefSeq and is a predicted model, not a curated record. Lineage: Eukaryota; Viridiplantae; Streptophyta; Magnoliopsida; Lamiales; Oleaceae.
CGCCUCAUACUACAUAAUCUUCAUCCUUGCGUGAUGUCAAUUCAUUUCCUUCAAUAGAUCAUCUUGGCAAUAGCUCAUCAAAGAAGGCUCAGAAGGACCAUCGGUUGUUAAUAUCAAACAGCGGGAGCUAAAGAGUGCAUCUUUUGACAAAAAAUUGUUCACCGUUUUGGAUCAGCAUGCCAAAACCAUAUCAAUUAAUGACAUAGUCUCGGAUGGUCCAUUGAAGGAUAGACAAGGAGCAGUAAAAGAAAUCUACAAAGGGAUACUGUUUUUGUGUGAUGAAAGUGAACCGGAGAGUAAUGGCUAUAUCUGUGUUAAAGCACAGUUGUGUGAGAAAGUAAACAUUUCUGGAGAUGCAUCUAAGGAGAAGGGUAGUGAACCAGCUGUUCUUUCAGGAUUUGAAGAUUUCCCAUCAUCCCCAAAUUGCCCCUUGUCUCCUAACAAUUCUUUGCAAGAGAGAGAGAACAAAAACAACUGUAUGUUUUUGAGUUCCUAUUGUAUCUAAUCACUAGAUGCAUUAUUAAAGUUCUAAUUUCAUUUACCUGUUUAACAUGUUAUGGUAAAUGCAACUAAUUGUGAAGAAAAUGGAAUGUUUUCUGUUGGUCUAUUAAGAAUCCGACUGGGCCCUUUAAAGGGGUACCAUUGUCGUGUGUUAGCUGUUCGCCGUUCUGAGGUCACAGUAAAGCUGGAUUCUCAGCACAAGAUUCUUACUGGUUCGAUGGAUCAACCUUAUCCUCUUCUGGUGUUGCAUGACUCGGAUUUAAAUAUUCUUUUGUGUUCUUGUAGUGAAAUAUGAGCAUCUUUCUGAGGUUCGUGGAAGAAAUUCUGCCAUUUCUCAGGGGGACGAUUCUGAGUCUUUUAAGCCAUUCAAUUUUCUUAGAUCGCAAGAUUGUUCCACAGAUUGGAUGGAUGGGACAGCAUUUUCAACAGAUGGUGAAAAGUGGAAUGCAGGAGGAUUAUCUACAGAAAGGUUUUACUUGUAUCUGAUGCCUGUUUGUAAUUUAUUUUUAAGCUUAUAAUCUCUAUGCACUUAUAGUUUUUAUUUUUGGUGGCAAGGAUGUGUGCUCACCGUGUAAUAUGUAUACAUCUUAGUAAUUUUUCUGACAAGUAUUUAAAUACUAAGUUAAAAUUUUCAUUUUGGAUAUUUACGUUUCUCAACUUUGUUUAGAAAUUGUAACUUGUGUUUCAUGAUUAUGACUACUUUUUCAGUCUGAAAAGCGAAUACUAACCAAAUUUAUGGUGAUUUGAUGAUCAGAAAUGAACAUUCACUUGAUAUGACGUUUGUCAUGUUUAAUCAUGAAUAUGCACCAUAUAUCAAAUUAUUACUGUAAAGGAUAUCCGUGUUUUCAUUCACUUCGUUCUGGACAGGAAAUGAGUGAACAACAUACAAGGAAAUUAUAGAAAGUGGUCUAUUACUUAUCUUUUUAAUUAAUUGUUGAGGAAAGUCUUGUUGAGUUUACUAAUCGAGAAGAAAUAUAAAACAUCUGUAAUAAAAAUAUGAUGCUGCUUUUGGAAUGCAGCCAAGUGAAUACUGCUUCCCAUGUAUUCCAUUCUUAUGUUGCCAUGGUUAUAUUGUGGUGCAUUUAUUUGUUUAUCCAUGGAAUGCUGUACUGAUGCUUGCAUUUUAAAUUAUUGCUCUCUUGCUGAUGUAUGAUGUAUACGUCUAUUCAUCUACUGUCUUCUGUAGUUUUCUAUAUUGAACCAAAAAUGCCAGCAUUUCUUUGCUGGUCUGCUUUCCCAUCAAGCUUACCGGUUAGCCACAAUGUUCUUCCUUCAUUUUUAUUAUGACGGUGCAUCUAAUUUGGUCCUUCACAUGACUAAUUUGACAAGCUAUAUAAUUUGCUCCUUCACCAGGAGUCAGG